This 468-nucleotide ribosomal RNA is filed under the name uncultured bacterium. RNAcentral describes it as "partial 16S ribosomal RNA". It matches the Rfam family "Bacterial small subunit ribosomal RNA", at positions 28 to 507 of the family's 1533-position model. The record is from RNAcentral.
GACGAACGCUGGCGGCGUGCUUAACACAUGCAAGUCGAACGGUGAAGCUCCAGCUUGCUGGAGUGGAUCAGUGGCGAACGGGUGAGUAACACGUGAGCAACCUGCCCCUGACUCUGGAAUAAGCGCUGGAAACGGCGUCUAAUACUGGAUACGAGAAGGGUCCGCAUGGGCACUUUCUGGAAAGUUUUUCGGUUGGGGAUGGGCUCGCGGCCUAUCAGCUUGUUGGUGAGGUAAUGGCUCACCAAGGCGACGACGGGUAGCCGGCCUGAGAGGGCGACCGGCCACACUGGGACUGAGACACGGCCCAGACUCCUACGGGGGGCAGCAGGGGGGAAUAUUGCACAAUGGGCGAAAGCCUGAUGCAGCGACGCCGCGGGAGGGAUGACGGCCUUCGGGUUGUAAACCUCUUUCAGCAGGGAAGAAGCGAAAGUGACGGUACCUGCAGAAGAAGCACCGGCUAACUACGUG